CCUACGGGAGGCAGCAGUGGGGAAUAUUGGACAAUGGGCGCAAGCCUGAUCCAGCAAUGCCGCGUGAGUGAGGAAGGCCUUCGGGUUGUAAAGCUCUUUCGCACGCGACGAUGAUGACGGUAGCGUGAGAAGAAGCCCCGGCUAACUUCGUGCCAGCAGCCGCGGUAAU
Molecule: ribosomal RNA, 169 nt
Filed under: uncultured bacterium
Lineage: Bacteria
Description: partial 16S ribosomal RNA
Rfam family: Bacterial small subunit ribosomal RNA
Source: RNAcentral